GAUGAACGCUGGCGGCGUGCUUAACACAUGCAAGUCGAACGGAGAGGCCCAAGCUUGCUUGGGUACUCGAGUGGCGAACGGGUGAGUAACACGUGGGUGAUCUGCCCUGCACUUCGGGAUAAGCCUGGGAAACUGGGUCUAAUACCGGAUAGGACCACUUCUUGGAUGUUGUGGUGGAGAGUUUUUUCGGUGUGGGAUGAGCUCGCGGCCUAUCAGCUUGUUGGUGGGGUAAUGGCCUACCAAGGCGUCGACGGGUAGCCGGCCUGAGAGGGUGUACGGCCACAUUGGGACUGAGAUACGGCCCAGACUCCUACGGGAGGCAGCAGUGGGGAAUAUUGCACAAUGGGCGCAAGCCUGAUGCAGCGACGCCGCGUGGGGGAUGACGGCCUUCGGGUUGUAAACUCCUUUCGCUAGGGACGAAGCGUUUUGUGACGGUACCUGGAGAAGAAGCACCGGCUAACUACGUG
Molecule: ribosomal RNA, 467 nt
Filed under: uncultured bacterium
Lineage: Bacteria
Description: partial 16S ribosomal RNA
Rfam family: Bacterial small subunit ribosomal RNA
Source: RNAcentral